GACGAACGCUGGCGGCGUGCCUAAUACAUGCAAGUAGGACGCAGUUGCGAACGGGUGCGUAACGCGUAGGUAACUACCUAUUAGAGGGGGAUAACUAUUGGAAACGAUAGCUAAUACCGCAUACUAGUAGAUGGACCUACGUUUUAUUAGCUAGUAGGUAGGGUAAUGGCCUACCUGGGCGAAGAUACAUAGCCGACCAGACGGGGUGAUCGGCAAAGCUGGGACUGAGACACGACCCAGACCUCUACGGGAGGCAGACGUAGGGAAUCUUCGGCAAUGGGGGGAAACCUGACCGAGCAACGCCGCGGGAGUGAAGAAGUUUUUCGGAUCGUAAAGCGCGGUUGUUAAGGAAGCGGUACUUAACCAGAAAGGGACGGCUAACUACGGGCCAGCAGCCGCGGUAAUUC
RNAcentral lists this ribosomal RNA (407 nucleotides) under uncultured bacterium. RNAcentral describes it as "partial 16S ribosomal RNA". It matches the Rfam family "Bacterial small subunit ribosomal RNA", at positions 28 to 526 of the family's 1533-position model. The record is from RNAcentral.